This 875-nucleotide ribosomal RNA is filed under the name Cerioporus scutellatus. RNAcentral describes it as "partial 28S ribosomal RNA". It matches the Rfam family "Eukaryotic large subunit ribosomal RNA", at positions 1 to 858 of the family's 3401-position model. The record is from RNAcentral. Lineage: Eukaryota; Fungi; Basidiomycota; Agaricomycetes; Polyporales; Polyporaceae.
UGACAUCUGGCCUCAAAUCAGGUGGGACUACCCGCUGAACUUAAGCAUAUCAAUAAGCGGAGGAAAAGAAACUAACAAGGAUUCCCCUAGUAACUGCGAGUGAAGCGGGAAAAGCUCAAAUUUAAAAUCUGGCGGCUUUACCGUCCGAGUUGUAGUCUGGAGAAGUGCUUUCCGCGCUGGACCGUGUAUAAGUCUCUUGGAAUAGAGCGUCAUAGAGGGUGAGAAUCCCGUCUUUGACACGGACUACCAGUGCUUUGUGAUGCGCUCUCAAAGAGUCGAGUUGUUUGGGAAUGCAGCUCAAAAUGGGUGGUAAACUCCAUCUAAAGCUAAAUAUUGGCGAGAGACCGAUAGCGAACAAGUACCGUGAGGGAAAGAUGAAAAGCACUUUGGAAAGAGAGUUAAACAGUACGUGAAAUUGCUGAAAGGGAAACACUUGAAGUCAGUCGCGUUGUUCAGAACUCAGCCUUGCUUCCGCUUGGUGCACUUUCUGGAUGANGGGCCAGCAUCAAUUUUGACCGUUGGAAAAGGGUUGGGGGAAUGUGGCACCUUCGGGUGUGUUAUAGCCUUCAGUCGCAUACAACGGUUGGGAUUGAGGACCGCAGCGCGCCGCAAGGCAGGGGUUCGCCCACUUUCGCGCUUAGGAUGCUGGCAUAAUGGCUUUAAAUGACCCGUCUUGAAACACGGACCAAGGAGUCUAACAUGCCUGCGAGUGUUUGGGUGGAAAACCCGAGCGCGUAAUGAAAGUGAAAGUUGAGACCUCUGUCGUGGAGGGCAUCGACGCCCGGACCUGACGUUCUCUGACGGUUCCGCGGUAGAGCAUGUAUGUUGGGACCCGAAAGAUGGUGAACUAUGCCUGAAUAGGGUGAAGCCAGAGG